UCAUGGGUGUGGACUUCUGUCCCCUCCACGUUUUCAGGUCCCUUGGGACAGUCUUUAUAUUAUCUCUUUAGUGUCCUUCCACAGCCCUCAGUAUAGUAUUUUUCACAUAGCAAAAGCUCAAUAAUUGCUCCCCAAUACAGUCAAUAGUUUUUUUGUUUUGGUUUAGAGACAGGGUCUCACUCUGGAGUCCACCACCAUACCCAGCAGUAGUUUGCUUUUAAAAUGCCAAUAUGGAGCGGCUUUAUCUGUUUUUCUCCUCUAAUUUGAAUAGAAAACACAUUUGCAAUAACUUUGCUUAGCAUAAGGACAUCUCCUCAGGGAAACAAAUAAAGGCUUUUAAUUUAUUUGAUCCUGCAAAAGACAAAGGGAACUUGAAAUUGAGAGUCAGGUAACUGAAUGGGGAAUAGGCGAAGAGAAAUGGACAAAUAUAAGGGAAAUUUUGAUAGAAGAGGUUGUUGAACUGAAAAAAGUAUAAAUAGUCUUAAAUCAGUUUCCCCUGUGAACUGUUAGUACUCAGAGCAGUGCUGAGAAGCCCCUGAAGCACUUCUGUGACAUUAGGAAGCCACAGCAAACUUUUUCUGAUUUUUUUUAAGCAAACAGACUAAAUAGACACUUUUUUAUUUUCUUAAUGCAAAAAAAGAGGUAGUUUGAAUUUAUCUUUAAUCCAACUUGCUCCAUAUGGCUAAAUAUAGAGGAUCCAAACUUGUGCUUCUUAAGUUCCAGUUAAGAAGAGUUUCUUUUCUUCACCUGAAGAUAGAUGACUCCCUCUUGGCAUGUAUUCUCAGCACUGGAAGUUGAGGCACUGAAACCCUGUUGAGAUUCAGGCACAGGGCAGCAAGCUGGGCAGGUGGUACCAAAGAGUUUUAUCUCAGUGUAGCUGUAGAAACACCUGGUGCCGGCUGUGAUUGAUGAGGGCAUAAAGACUAUUAAUCCAGAGUAUGGGGGAGAAGCAAAGUGGGUGGGACACUGCUCGAGGUAAGAAGGACAAGGAGUGAAGAGACAAUGCAAGCGGGUCAGGGACAACCUCCAAUUCUGCUUUGCUCAGUGGAGUCUGACACCCAGCAGGAGAAUGGGAUGCUGGUCUCAGAUUACAGUGCUACUUAUUUCAGUGCCCCAAUCUGUUUGGUUUUGAUAAAAGAUCAGCAUGAAGGCCAAAUCAGACUUCCUGGAAAUUAUGUGACAUUGAGGAGAGGCCCAACUUUCAAAGUCUACACUUGGCAACAACAAAGCACGGCUCAUUGAAUACCAGUCAAGAGACAGACUAAUGGAAGGAGGUUGCAGUGAGACAAAGCCAAGGAAUCUGCAAUUUAACCCUGUCCUCCUGAGAUCCUCGUGACAUUUUUUCUUUGCAUACAGUGCUGGGGAUUGAACCCAGGGCCUUCACACAGAAUAUCUCCAGCCCUGUUUUUGUUUUUUUAUUUUGAAACAGAGUCCUGCUAAUUUGCUUACAUUGGGCACAAACUUGUGACCCUCCUGUCACAGACUUCCAGAAUGCUGGGAUAUAGGUGUGUGCCAUUAUACCCAGUUCAAUAAUUAAAUUAAAGACUCCUACUCUACAGCA
Long non-coding RNA from Cavia porcellus (domestic guinea pig), 1561 nucleotides. RefSeq lists it as uncharacterized. The transcript is spliced from 2 exons. NCBI's taxonomy places the organism in Eukaryota, Metazoa, Chordata, Mammalia, Rodentia, Caviidae. The record is from RefSeq and is a predicted model, not a curated record.